GCUCAAACAUAAAUGUUUGAGUUCACUCCUCACACCACACUCCGCCCAGGCUUUUAGUCUGGGCGGUU
This 68-nucleotide small RNA is filed under the name Phormidium tenue NIES-30. Its description in RNAcentral is "Cyanobacterial functional RNA 1". It matches the Rfam family "Cyanobacterial functional RNA 1". Lineage: Bacteria; Bacillati; Cyanobacteriota; Cyanophyceae; Oscillatoriales; Oscillatoriaceae. The record is from Rfam by way of RNAcentral.